Molecule: ribosomal RNA, 482 nt
Filed under: uncultured bacterium
Lineage: Bacteria
Description: partial 16S ribosomal RNA
Rfam family: Bacterial small subunit ribosomal RNA
Source: RNAcentral
AUUGAACGCUGGCGGCAUGCUUUACACAUGCAAGUCGAACGGUAACAGGCCGCAAGGUGCUGACGAGUGGCGAACGGGUGAGUAAUGCAUCGGAACGUGCCCCGUCGUGGGGGAUAACUACUCGAAAGAGUAGCUAAUACCGCAUACGAUCUAUGGAUGAAAGCGGGGGACCGCAAGGCCUCGCGCGAUUUGAGCGGCCGAUGUCAGAUUAGGUAGUUGGUGGGGUAAAGGCUCACCAAGCCAACGAUCUGUAGCUGGUCUGAGAGGACGACCAGCCACACUGGGACUGAGACACGGCCCAGACUCCUACGGGAGGCAGCAGUGGGGAAUUUUGGACAAUGGGCGCAAGCCUGAUCCAGCAAUGCCGCGUGCAGGAAGAAGGCCUUCGGGUUGUAAACUGCUUUUGUACGGAACGAAACGGCUCUGGUUAAUACCCGGGGCUAAUGACGGUACCGUAAGAAUAAGCACCGGCUAACUACGUG